GCGUAGCUACGUAGGCGCGUUCCCGCGAGCACUCGUUAAAACCUUCAGACUGCGCAGGUGGUAAGCUAAUGGAUCUGGCUUUGGACCCGAAGUCACACACACACACACACACAGCCCACUUCUUCUAUCUAACAGGAGGUGCCAGGAAAGAGUAGUGUUGUCUCCAGACAGAUCAUCUGAACACCAACACACAGUGUAGAGGGACACACAUAUUAAAACCAACC
Molecule: long non-coding RNA, 224 nt
Organism: Lates calcarifer (barramundi perch)
Lineage: Eukaryota; Metazoa; Chordata; Actinopteri; Centropomidae
Exons: 3
Source: RefSeq, a predicted model, not a curated record